This 977-nucleotide ribosomal RNA is filed under the name Frigoribacterium sp. 736G163. Its description in RNAcentral is "bacterial SSU rRNA". It matches the Rfam family "Bacterial small subunit ribosomal RNA", at positions 76 to 1067 of the family's 1533-position model. Lineage: Bacteria; Bacillati; Actinomycetota; Actinomycetes; Micrococcales; Microbacteriaceae. The record is from RNAcentral.
GAGCUUGCUCCUCUGGAUCAGUGGCGAACGGGUGAGUAACACGUGAGUAACCUGCCCUUGACUCUGGGAUAAGCACUGGAAACGGUGUCUAAUACCGGAUACGAGCUUCAGCCGCAUGGCUAGGAGCUGGAAAGAAUUUCGGUCAAGGAUGGACUCGCGGCCUAUCAGCUAGUUGGUGAGGUAAUGGCUCACCAAGGCGACGACGGGUAGCCGGCCUGAGAGGGUGACCGGCCACACUGGGACUGAGACACGGCCCAGACUCCUACGGGAGGCAGCAGUGGGGAAUAUUGCACAAUGGGCGCAAGCCUGAUGCAGCAACGCCGCGUGAGGGACGACGGCCUUCGGGUUGUAAACCUCUUUUAGUAGGGAAGAAGCGAAAGUGACGGUACCUGCAGAAAAAGCACCGGCUAACUACGUGCCAGCAGCCGCGGUAAUACGUAGGGUGCAAGCGUUAUCCGGAAUUAUUGGGCGUAAAGAGCUCGUAGGCGGUUUGUCGCGUCUGCUGUGAAAACUGGAGGCUCAACCUCCAGCCUGCAGUGGGUACGGGCAGACUAGAGUGCGGUAGGGGAGAUUGGAAUUCCUGGUGUAGCGGUGGAAUGCGCAGAUAUCAGGAGGAACACCGAUGGCGAAGGCAGAUCUCUGGGCCGUAACUGACGCUGAGGAGCGAAAGCAUGGGGAGCGAACAGGAUUAGAUACCCUGGUAGUCCAUGCCGUAAACGUUGGGAACUAGAUGUAGGGGCCAUUCCACGGCUUCUGUGUCGCAGCUAACGCAUUAAGUUCCCCGCCUGGGGAGUACGGCCGCAAGGCUAAAACUCAAAGGAAUUGACGGGGGCCCGCACAAGCGGCGGAGCAUGCGGAUUAAUUCGAUGCAACGCGAAGAACCUUACCAAGGCUUGACAUAUACCGGAAAAGUUCAGAAAUGUUCUCCCCGCAAGGCCGGUAUACAGGUGGUGCAUGGUUGUCGUCAGCUCGUGUCG